Molecule: ribosomal RNA, 629 nt
Filed under: uncultured archaeon
Lineage: Archaea
Description: bacterial SSU rRNA
Rfam family: Archaeal small subunit ribosomal RNA
Source: RNAcentral
ACGGACCGUGAUAACCUCGGGAAACUGAGGCUAAUAACGGAUGUCGCUCCCGAGCUGGGAUGCUGGGAGCGAUAAAGCUCCGGCGCCGUAGGAUGUGACUGCGGCCGAUUAGGUAGACGGUGGGGUAAUGGCCCACCGUGCCGAUAAUCGGUACGGGUUGUGAGAGCAAGAACCCGGAGACGGACUCUGAGACAAGAGUCCGGGCCCUACGGGGCGCAGCAGGCGCGAAACCUUUACACUGCACGCAAGUGCGAUAGGGGGACACCGAGUGCGAGGGCAUAGAGCCCUCGCUUUUGUGCAUCGUAAGGUGGUACACGAAUAAGGGCUGGGCAAGACCGGUGCCAGCCGCCGCGGUAACACCGGCAGCCCGAGUGAUGGCCGCUUUUAUUGGGCCUAAAGCGUCCGUAGCCGGCCGUUCAGGUCCGUCGGGAAAUCCACUGGCUCAACCAGUGGGCGUCCGGCGGAAACCGAUCGGCUUGGGACAGGGAGACCAGAGGGGUACGUCCGGGGUAGGAGUGAAAUCCUGUAAUCCUGGACGGACCAACCGGUGGCGAAAGCGCCUCUGGAGAACUGAUCCGACGGUGAGGGACGAAAGCUGGGGUCUCGAAACCGGAUUAGAUACCCGGGUA